Vicugna pacos (alpaca) is the source of this 3200-nucleotide non-coding RNA. The record is from RefSeq and is a predicted model, not a curated record. NCBI's taxonomy places the organism in Eukaryota, Metazoa, Chordata, Mammalia, Artiodactyla, Camelidae.
GGGAGGCGGGAGGAGGGCAGAGGCGAGGACCGGGGGUGGGGCGCCUCCGCCCGCCAGCCGCUCCCGCAUUAAAAUUUCAUGGGCGCUGCAGCAGCUACAAAGACGACGCCGGCUGCGCUCGGGGGACCAGAGGGAGGGAGGCUGCGGACGAGUGCGGGGAGGAGUUUGCGAUGGGAGGCGCUUGCAGGGGCUCCCCCAGUUCUGCGCUGUGAGCCGGGGCACAAAGAGCCCUCUGCACUGGCGCCGCAAGACCGCGGACGGGAGCUGGAGGCAUCUCCCUGCCCACCCAUGUCUUCCAGACACGUUCACGUGGCCACCAUGACCUUGACAGCAUCAGAGGAGUAACCCAGCCUGCUCCUAAUCCCUGGCAACCACAAAUCUACCUUCUGUCUGUAGAGGGUGGCCUUUUCUGGACGUUUUGUGUAAAUGGAAUCAUACAGCAUGUGGUCUCUUGCGCCUGGCUUCUUUCACCCCAGACUGCAGCAAGUUCCUGGGACAGAGGAGAAAGAAGGGAAUUUCCGGGUUCUUCGAGAUGUUCAUGAUCACCCUGGGAAGGAGCCUUGCAGAUAAGUAUUCAAAAGUACCAGCCCCCAGCCUACCAGCCUGCCCUCUCCUGGUCGGUGCAGGAAAGUCCAGUAUCCCAGAAUCCCCAAGGUGGGGGAAGAACUCAGCGAUGUGGCUCACUCACUUUCCUACCUCUGAGGCCACAAAGAGCUCGUCUCCGUUUUCUGGGGCCCCAGAAAGUAACUUUCACAGCCCACUUUUGGCAUCAAGGCUAGAAUUUUAUAAACUCCACUCUCAGUAACUUCUGAGGACCUGAGUUGAGUGACUUCAUCUUGAGUACCUGUAAACCCGGUGUCAGGAGGAGGCUGGGGACUCCGGGUGAUUUGGGCUGGCCCUUCCCUUCUCAGUUCUGGCCCUUUGACAUCUUCUCAAACUUGGCUAGGGGCCCUUCGCGUGGCAAUCAAGUGGGGACCUUGGCACCGUGACCCUCGGGCACAUGCUUGGCAGUGUAAGGGUCUGAGUACCUCUCCAGCCCUGGACCCGUGAGCCAAGUCCGGGAGCUGACAGCAAGCUCUAAAAAUACGCUGAGAGGACCCCUGACUCCCAGGCCCAGGUCUGCCAGUUGAUGAACAGAGCUUAGCUGUCACUGAAAGCAAACCCUGGGAGACAAUGCUGGGUCACGAUGAGUGGGCAUUCUCUGGUCUUCUCAGACUGGUAACAUGGGGUGGUCAUCAAAGAGUCCCAGCCCACCCUCUGGCUCUGCAAGCUUCCUCUGGUGCCUGGGGCCUCAGAAAAGAGAUGGGGAGGGGGACGGGGGCGCGGGGCAGAAAGGUAACUGAGUCUGAGUGGAAGGGCCUCAGACUCGGGGUUGUUACCGUGCGCCGUGGGUGAGUGUCAGGACCAGAAGGGCCCUGUGGCCCAGAGAGAGGGCCGGAUUCCCAGGACUGCACAGGAUGGCAGGGCUGGGAUCAGAGCUCUGGAUGCUGGCUCUGUUCAGUGCUCACUUGAACUGUCGUCAAGCUGAGUCUGUCCUGCCUUCUCCAGGGGUCACAUUCUGUGGUUGGCGGGCAACAGGGAGGUGGGCAAAGGCAGCAAGGAGGGUAUUCGGGGGUGGGAGGAAGGGAGGUGGGGGGCCGGUGUGUCUGGGCCCAGCCUCCCUAGCUCCUGGGGCCUUCCUGUCAGCAGAGUUCUGGCCCGGCCCGGGAUGGAGAGGGGGCCUGGGCGCGGUUUUCUCCUGCGCCGUGGUUGGCUCCUUUGUCUUCCAGGAUGGGCCUACGUGGGUCUUCGUGGGGGAGGAGCUGGAAGCUGAGCUCGGGCUGCCAAAGUGUUGGCUGGGCGCUGCCAGCACAAACGUGGACCAAGCGCCUUCUCCCAGCGAGAUGCUGAGGCCCCAGAGGGCAACAUGAGAUGUGGUUCCGCCCUCUCUGAUCUUCAGGCGGCUCUGCCCUGGCUGCAUCUCAGGACUCCUGACCAGGUCUUCUCUUUGGAGCCCGGGUGACCCUAGACUCUGGCCAUGGUGACACAGGAAGUGGCCUUCUGGACAAUACUGGAACCCUGGACAAUUCCCUGAAGACCUCAUCCUUCCUGACUCCUGGGAUGGAGCCUGCCAUGGGUACAGGCCCCUCUGGGAUGGUUCUCAGCUGAGAUCAGGACCUGGCUCUGGAGGACAGCUCGAGGGAUGUGAGGGAGGCCGGCAGCCCACCGUCCCCGCUGCGUCUGUCUGGACCUGCCUGCUGGGCCCUCUGUCCAGGCCUGGAGGCCCUUCCUGACCCCGAGUGGACCUGAUUUCUCUUGGCAGCCCUGCUGGAGACCAGAGCUCAGCCUGGGCCAGGGCCUGACUGACCACACCUCGCCAAGGCUGGGUCUUAAAGGACCUUAUAGGACAGGGGCAGGAUCACAGGACUGGGUGUCAAAGAGGAGCUGCCGGUGGGAGGGAGGGUGGACGCAGCUCCCGGGGCGCCGCCGGCUGGGUCUGCCCUGUGCCGUUGGCUGUGUGAGUGAGUGACGCUCAUUCUUGUGGGGGCUUCUUGGAUGGGGCUUUCCUGCGCUUCUGCUCUCCCGGAUGGUGACCGGGGUGGGGGGCAGCCUGGGCCUUCCCCUUGAGUUGUGGAGCUCUGGGAGGGGCAGCUGGAGGGGUAGAGCUAUCCUGGACGGAGAGAGUUUCCAGGGGAUGAGGAGACCCAGGCUGGGGAGGCUCGCCAGAAGGAGACAGACGCUGAGCCUUGCUCUCGCCUUCCAAAGGGAAUGGUCUGGAAUCAGCCUCACCCCAAGGCUUGAGGGAUCACCCCAGCCGUAUCUCAGACUCCUGCUCCUUGUCACACUCCUGCCCUUGGGGAGCAGCGGCAGGCUCCACACACAUCAGGCAGCUCCCCCAUCACGUGGCUGCGGCUGCGGCUGCGGGCUCACUGGCCUGCCUGCCUCCCUGUUCACUCCCUCCAGCUCCUUAAGAGGGGCCGGUCCCAGUGCUCGCACAGGAGCAGCUGUGGCCUUCCUUAGGCAAGUCUAGGAGCCCAGUGUCCUUUUCUGGGGGUGGGGAGGGGACCUGGGUGAGUCAGCUUGGGCUGCCAUUAACGGAAUACCAUGCGUGGAGGGCUGAACCGGCAGAAAUGGAUUUUCUCACAGUUCUGGGGGCUGAAGGUACAAAACCAAGGGGCCAGGGAUGGUUUCUGGUGAGGCUUCUCUCCUUGGCUCACAGG